RNAcentral lists this ribosomal RNA (500 nucleotides) under uncultured bacterium. RNAcentral describes it as "bacterial SSU rRNA". It matches the Rfam family "Bacterial small subunit ribosomal RNA", at positions 28 to 507 of the family's 1533-position model. The record is from RNAcentral.
GACGAACGCUGGCGGCGUGCCUAAUACAUGCAAGUCGAGCGGAAUGAUGAAGAAGCUUGCUUCUUCUGAUUUUCGCGGCGGACGGGUGAGUAACACGUGGGCAACCUACCUUGUAGAUUGGGAUAACUCCGGGAAACCGGGGCUAAUACCGAAUAAUCCAUUUUGCUUCAUGGCGAGAUGUUGAAAGACGGUUUCGGCCGUCACUACAAGAUGGGCCCGCGGCGCAUUAGCUAGUUGGUAGGGUAAUGGCCUACCAAGGUGACGAUGCGUAGCCGACCUGAGAGGGUGAUCGGCCACACUGGGACUGAGACACGGCCCAGACUCCUACGGGAGGCAGCAGUAGGGAAUCUUCCACAAUGGACGAAAGUCUGAUGGAGCAACGCCGCGUGAGUGAAGAAGGUUUUCGGAUCGUAAAACUCUGUUGUAAGGGAAGAACACGUACGAGAGUAACUGCUCGUACCUUGACGGUACCUUAUUAGAAAGCCACGGCUAACUACGUG